GGAGGGUGCGAGCGUUGUUCGGAAUUAUUGGGCGUAAAGAGCGUGUAGGCGGUUUGGUAAGUCAGAUGUGAAAGCCCUGGGCUCAACCCAGGAAGUGCAUUUGAAACUACCAUGCUUGAGUAUGGGAGAGGAGAGUGGAAUUCCCAGUGUAGAGGUGAAAUUUGUAGAUAUUGGGAGGAACACCGGUGGCGAAGGCGACUCUCUGGACCAAUACUGACGUUGAGACGCGAAAGCGUGGGGAGCAAACAGGGAUUAGAUACCCUGGUAGUCCACGCCGUAAACGAUGAGAACUAGGUGUAGCGGGUAUUGACCCCCCUGCUGUGCCGGAGUUAACGCAUUAAGUUCUCCGCCUGGGGAGUACGGCCGCAAGGCUA
RNAcentral lists this ribosomal RNA (374 nucleotides) under uncultured organism. RNAcentral's name for it is "partial 16S ribosomal RNA". It matches the Rfam family "Bacterial small subunit ribosomal RNA", at positions 527 to 896 of the family's 1533-position model. The record is from RNAcentral.